GAGGCAAAGGGAGUACGUCGGAGGGCGGACAGGUAGGCUCAGGAUCAGCGGAUGUAGAGGAGCCAGGAGGAAAACACCUGGAGGCAGGAGAAGCAACAAAGAAAGCUUUCACUAGGAGCAGAUCAACAAGGCAAACCAGAAGCAAGCUUCUAGGGGCUCAGAGGUACCGUGACUGGCUAACACUCAGGCGCCGAAGGACUGGCAGUCAGCUCCUCUUGAACAUCUCGCUGAUGAGCCAAACUCGCAUCAGGUGUGGGAUGACGUCAUCCACGCCCUCCGACGGAAUGGCAAAGGCGCCAUCUAGUGGUGGAGAAAAACGAGUGCAUGCACAAAAACUCCACAAAGGUGCUAAAAGGCCCCGGAACAUGACAAGAGGAUAAUAUUUGACCCAAUACUUGUUUAUCUGCAUGUAGAGUUUUGCCCCAAGUCUUUAGGGCUUUAUGUCUUGGUAAGUUUGAUUCCGUGUUUCAAAUUCUUCGAGGAUUUCUACAUGGAUUUAUAUUGUGUUCAAUAAAAUACAAAUUUUGUACAUUUUUAACUGCACACAGCAGGAAUAUAAACCGAUGAAUCAGAGCCAAAACAUUCAAGACAAUCUGAUCGUACUGUUCUGUUACAGAUCAUCAAAAGUUUGGACUCUUUCUCUGUGCUACAGUGAAGAUCCUGGGAAUCAUAAUCCUCUGCAGUGCAGUCGUCACCUUUGAGUGCUGGUUUAGAUCAUCCGACAGAUCAAGGAAGGAUCCAGCAGAACCAGAGCGGAUCAACAGAGUGAUGGAGAUUCAGGCAUCAUGAGCCACAAGGAGGCGAAGAAAACGUUCACUAUUAGUGGGACAAUAUCUUUCUUUUUUCUUGCAUUCGAAUUUGACUGUACAUGUGUUGAUUUUUAUUACAAGAUAAGCAGAUAACAUUUGAACUUGGCAUUAAAAUCUUUUUAAAAUGGAAACAAGGAAAAAUUGAGAUACUGCACAAAUUAUUCAUCUUUUGUUUGCCAUGUUUGCUUGUUAUUUUUUUCCCCCUUUUCUGUCAUUUAACCAUCAGCAUUUAUUGAGGAAGCACUUUUUCCUUAGACUAAAUGCUGCACGCAAUUUCCAAUACAUUUAAAAAAUAAAUAGUGACCUGUAUUCUAUUCUUUUUGCUGGGAAUAAAUAAAUUCAU
Molecule: long non-coding RNA, 1152 nt
Organism: Xiphophorus hellerii (green swordtail)
Lineage: Eukaryota; Metazoa; Chordata; Actinopteri; Cyprinodontiformes; Poeciliidae
Exons: 3
Source: RefSeq, a predicted model, not a curated record